This is a non-coding RNA of Ictidomys tridecemlineatus (thirteen-lined ground squirrel), 7495 nucleotides long. The record is from RefSeq and is a predicted model, not a curated record. Lineage: Eukaryota; Metazoa; Chordata; Mammalia; Rodentia; Sciuridae.
CAGAGAAGCCAAUCGGCAUCGCUGCGGUUCUGGGUUAUAGAGUUCCCACAGACCCGCAGAGAUUCAGAUCCUCCAGACCCCGAGGAUGGGGGUCCUGGCUCUGCAAACCCUCCUCCUGCUGCUCUCUCAGACCCUGGCCUUAACCGAGACCUGCGACGUGGUGAAUCCCAGGGCAGAGCCGCGGGUGCCAUGGAUGGAGCAGGUGGGACCUGAGUACUGGGACCGGAACACACGGAUCGUCAAGCGCAGUGCACAAGUGAUUCUAAACAACCUGCUCGGCUAGACCAGAGCGACGCAGGUAAGUGACCCGGGCCCAGAGCGAAGGACACGAGACACCCUCAUUCUCCAUGAACGGGUCGGAAUGGCCCAGCUUCACCCUAAGGCUGCGGGACUCGCGGGUCACGUAGACCUGGGGAAAGCCCCAGGGAUUCACUCCAGUUGGGUUUUCGAUUUCGUUGGGAAAAGGCUCUGAUCAAUCACCGCCCCUCAGUGUCACGCGGGGAAAGUCCGUGGGGCCGGACUGACAAGAGUGGCGGUGCCAGGAGCUCAUACCUACCAGACUCUCUGUGGCUGCAUCCUGGGGCCGAACCUGCGCCUCCUCCGCGGGUACUGUCGGGACGCCUACGAUGGUGGAUUACAGUGAGCUGAAAGAGGACCUGCGCUCCUGGACUGCGCGGACGCAGCGGCUCAGAUUACCCAGCGCUAAUGGGAGGCAUCCAGUGAGGAUUAUCGCUGUAGGGCCUACCUCUAGAAGGAGUGCGUGGAGUGGCUCCGCAGAUACCUCCAGUACAGUAAGGAGAAGCUACAGCGCGCAGGUACCAGGGGCUGAGGGUAUCUCCAUGAUCUGCCGAUGUCACUGCCUGCCUUCCCCCCAGAAGGGGAGUAAAAUUGGGCCAAUGCUAGAAUAUCGCUCUCCCCUGAAUCCAGAAAGGAUGGAAUCCCCCUGGGUUUCCGAAUACUGUACUAGAGAGUAUUACUCUCGGAGAUGACUUAAGGAUCCAGUUGUUACCAUCUAGGGGUGCUGGGUUCGUUGUCUCAGUUCAGCAAAGAAUUGACAGAACACAGAGAUAGCAAGCAAGCAGCGAGUUUAUUACAAAAGCUACAGAGACUUCUCGAAGCGAAAGGGCCCCAGAGCUGGGAAUCAGGUGUGUGUGGGGGGGCGGGGGUCUGCUCUUUUUAUGGUCUCUGAAAUUUCCUCCUAUUCUUAUCUCCUUCCCUGUCCACGUUCUCCUCAAUAUUAUUGAUUGAUGCCCCCUCUGUCCUCGGUGUCUGUUUUAGGUUUUCUAUUGGACCCCCCACUUGGAAGGAGGAGUAAGGAAGUGUCUGUCUAAUUGGGUCCCCUGCUUGUGUCCACUUUCCUCAACCAGGAAGUUGACCUCAUCAGAAGACCCUCUCCAUGCUCCUUUGUUUUGGCCCUGCCCUGAUCUCCUUCCUCACUUGUCAAUUUGCUCUUGCUGCCUAGGCCCUUCUACCUUUCCUUCACACUCUCCUGGAUUGGACAGUCCCAGAAAUAACUGACCAGCAGUUCCCUUUGACUCUGGCAGCAACCUUAGACAUUACAGAGGGACUUCUCUCAUGCUUUGUUCUCUGCCCCCAAAGCAGUGUCUUUAGAAGUCUGAUUCCAGUUUUUCCAAUCCCUGGAACUUCACUCAAGUCACAACUCUAGGUCCCUCUCACAGACUUGGCACCUCAUCCUGGGCUGUCUCACCCUGCUUCUAGAACUGUCCAGAUAACUGAGGACUGGCUAGUGGCUAGGUUUUACACUCUUUCCCAUCUUAAUUGUCCCAUCACUUAUUGGGAUGAUCAGAAGAAUUCUUCUUCAGUAGCCCAAGGGAGAUAAUGCGAAAUGUUUUAAUUUCCUGAUAUUUCUACAAUGCCCCCAAAGACACAUGUGACCUACCACCCCAUCUCUGACAAUGAAGUCAUCCUGAGGUAUGGGCCCUUGGCUUCUAUCCUAAGGAGAUCACCCUGACCUGGCUGCAGUGGGGAGGACCAGACGCAAGACAUGGAGCUUGUGGGGACCUGCAGGGGAUGGAAACUUCCAGAAAUGGGCAGCUGUGAAGGUACCCGCUGGAGAGGAGUAGAGAUACACAUGCCAUGUGCACUAUCAUGGGCUGUCUGAGCCCUCACUCUGAGAUGGGGUAAGGAGGGGGAUGAGGGCACAGAUCUGUCAUUAGGGCAAACAGGAGCCAUUCUGGAGACCCUCAGCAGAAUCAGGGAUGACAGCUAGACAUCAGGGCAUGAAUAGGUCAAUUUUCCUACAGUGAAAUACCUGAAGAUGGGUACUUAAUAAAGUAAAGAAGUUUAUUCUGGAGAUUCACAGGUAUGGCACUAGCAUAAGUUGGGUUCUGGUGACAACCUCAUAGCAGAUGGCACCAGAAUGGUAGGAGUUAGUAAAAGAGAGAGAAAUCACAUGGCAAGACUAGAAGCCAUAGAAAGGAGAGAGAUUCUUUUAGUAAUUUGUUCUCUAGAGAACUAAGGGUCCUAUGAGAGCAGACCCUCAGUGACCUAAGGACCUCCCACUAGGCACUACUUCCUAAAGAUCCCACCACCACAACACUACCACACUGGGAACCAAACUUCCAAUGAACCCAGGAGGACAAACACUAUCCAAACCAUAAUAGGGCCCCUCAGCUUUCCUUCCUUUCCCAGAGCAGUCUGCCCAGUCCAUCAUCCCCACCAUGGGAAUCAUCACUGGCCUAGUUCUCCUUGGAGUUGUGGUCACUGAAACUGUGGUCAGUAUUAUUAUGUGGAAGAAAAAGAAUGCAGGUAGGGAAGGAGUGGGGUCAGAGUUCUUGUCCCAUGAGGGGAUUUCAAAUGUAGGUAGAAAGGUGUCCUGUGUUAAUAGGAAGUACCAUCUACACACAAGUUCUUAUCCACCCUGAGGCCUUGUUUGCCUGAGGCCUCUUUUUUUUUCUCUACUUUUAGUUGUAGAUGGACACAAUACCUUUGUUUAUUUAGUUUUUUUAUGUGGUGUUGGGGAUUGAACCCAGUGCCUCCUGCAUGCAAGGCAAGUGCCCUACCCCUGAGCCACAACCCCAGCCCCUGGAGCCUCUUAUUAAAGCAUAUGAGUGUAAAAGAAAAGUUUAUCACUCUGGUGAUGGUGAUGAUGGGAAUCUGAUUCCCAGCAGUAGCAGGUAACAGAAGAAGGUCCCUGAUGAGGUACCUUCCAGGAAGACAGUUUCCUGACCCCUUUACCUCUUCUUUCCUCAUGGCUCCUGAUCCUGCUCCUGAUCUGAAGUCAUAGUUCUGGAAAUUUCCCCAGGGUUCAGGAUUUGCUAAUUCCUUUAGAACCUCAUGACUCAUGAUCAACCCUGGCUUCUCACAGGAUGUUUUCUUCCCCCAGGUGGAGAAUGAGGCAGCUACACUCAGGCUGCCUAUAAGUAUGCAGAGAAUUGAUCUCUGAGACCGUUGGGAACAGUGUAGACAGGAGCCCAUGGGGAAGAUCACCCAACCCCAUAAUUCCUGUUUUAGCCACAACUGUUAUGGGCCCUUUUUGCUCUGCUCCAGGCAGUGACAGUUCCCAGGCUUCUGAUGUAUUUCUCCUGGCUUGUAAAGUGUGAGAUAGCUGCCUUGUAUGGGACUGAGAAAUACAAGAUUUGUUCAAGUGCCCCCCAACAUUGAGAUUUUGGGAAGCUUCUAAAUUCUCUUUCUGCAACCGGCCUCUAAAAACUUACAUGUCUGUGUUCCAAGGAGUAUAAUGUGAGAAAAUGUGGACACGAGCCUAUCCCUAAGCAUCUAGUCCCUCUUGUUUGUCCUCUCAUUGUCUAAGUCAGUUUUCCAUUACUGUAAAAAAAAAAAAAAAAUACCCAAGAUAAUCACUUUACAAGAGGAAAGGAUUUUUGGCUAAUAGUUUGAGAUUUCAGUCCAUGAUCAAUUGUCCCCAUUGCUUUUAGACCUUUGGCAAAGCAGCAUGUCAUGGUGGCAGCAUCUAGCAGAGGAAAAAAAAGAGAGAAGAAACCAUGGCCACAUGACAUCCUUUGAGAGCACAACCCCAAUAACUGAAACCUCGCACAAGGCUCCACCUCAUAUUUUUCCCACCAUCUUCCAAUAGAACCACAUGCUGGGAACCAAGCUUUAACAUGAACUUUUGAAGGAAAUUUCAGAUCCAAACUAUAGUGUUACCCUUACAAGGUUCAGCCAGCCCUUGCACACAGGAAAUUUGUGACAUCAAGAGAUGAAUUUUCAGAUUUAUACAGCUCUUGCCCUCCUUCUAGAAGUGUUCCUUGGAUUGUACUUCCCAUCCACUUCCUAACCUUCUUAAAUGAACCAGAUUUGGGGAUUAGCAGAAAAGAGGGACUUUAUAAUUUCUCAUCAUAGAUAGAUUCCUGUUAAGUUUUUGUUUUUUCUAAUCACCUGUCCCUUUUCCCUGCCCUUAGUUCUAGUAAUCCUAGUGAUUGCUCCAAUCCAAACUUGUGGAUUUAUAAAGCAGAAUCUAAUUUAGACAUUUAUUGCUUGAAAUAUAGGGCCUAUGAUCCUAGCAUCUUGUUUGGUGAAGAGACAAAUGUACUCAUGUGUUGUGGAGUGCAGGGUGUGGGAAGUAGAGUGGGGGAAGAGAGGGCAGCCCUGACAUCCAGCUGCCAGGAAAACACUGGGCUUCACACAGAUAUUAGAAUAAGCAGACAAUGACAUUAAGACAGUGUUCAUAAAUUUAUUCCAAAUGUUCAAGCAGUUACAUGAGACACAUAAAAGAUCACAAUCAAAAUUCCAAAGAUAAAAUAAAAGCAUCUGAGAUGUCAAAUGUACAAAAUGUGAGGUGGGAUUCAUGGUAGACUGUACUGAAGAAUAAAAGAUCAGUGACCUUGGAGACAAAGAAAUAGAAACUUUUCCAAAAUUUGCAUAAAGCAAUUCUUACAAUAUAUUGUCAGGUUUAUGACGUAAUUUGAUAUGAUGUUUAAAAAUAUCAGCACAACAAAGAAGAAAUAGAGAAUAACAUCUUCAUAUCUCACUGAAAUUAAGUAUGAAUUUUGAAGUAGUUUUUGAUAGACAAAUUGUAUAAAGUAAGUCCAAGAGCAACCAUGAAGAAAACUAUAAUGAAAAAGAAUUAGAAUUAACAUAUUAUAGUAGAAAAUAUCCACUUAAUACAUGCAGAAUCAGUAAAGGAAGAGGGAGAAAAGACAUAAGACAAAGUAAAUUACAGACAAAGUUCUUUAACAUUAAAUGGAAAUGGAAUAAAUAAGCAAAUCAAAAGACAGAGAUUGUCACACUAGAUAAAUAAGAUUAAACUACACACUGUCUAAUUAGACACACUUACGAUUCACAGGCAUACAUAGAUAAAAAAGAUGGAAAGUAAUGGCUAUGGUGCCCUCUUGUAAUCCCAGCAACUCUGGAAGCAGAAGCAGGAGUUUGAGGCCAUUCUCAGCAACUUAUUGAGACCCUGUCUCAAAUUAAAUUUAAAAAGGGCUUUUUGCUCAGUGGUAAAUCACCCCUGGGGGUUCAAUCCUGAGAACUAAAGGGAAAAAAAAAAACAGUGAAAAAGAGAUAUAUAUUAACAGCAACCAUAAGAAAUCUGGAGUGGCUACACUAAUGAUCAACAAAAUAGACUUUAUUUUAUUAAUUAGAUUAAUCAGUAAUAAAAGUGUCAGUCCAUCACAAACAAUAAUUAGAAGCAUAUAUACAUCUAACACCCAAACACCAAAUGACAUAAAGAUGAAACUUAAAAAAACAAAGAAAUAUACACACAAUAAUCUUAGUUGAAGACUUCAGGACUCCACUUUCACUAACGAAUAUGUUAAGCAAGUGAUCAACAAAGAAUAUCUGAACACCACCAUAAACUAUCCCAAUCAAAUGGAUAUCCAUAAACAUUUCUCUCAAGAGCAAAAUACACUUUUUUUUCUCAAAUGCAUAUGGAACAUUCUUCAGGAUACACACCAAAUGUCAGGCCACAAGACAAAUACUAAUAAGUUUAAAGGAACAGAAAAAGUUUCAAGGGCUGGUAUUGUAACUCAGUGGUAGAGCACUUGCCUAGCACAUGUGAGGCACUGGGUUCAAUCCUCAGCACCACAUAAAAAAAUAAAUUAAUUAAAUAAAGUUAUUUUUUUUAAAUGUUUCAAUUAUGUCCUCUGACCAAAAUGGAAUAAAAUUUUAGGAAUCAAUUACUAACUGAAGGAAAUUUGAGAAACUCACACAUUAAUGGAAACAAAACAUUACAGGAUAAUCACUGAAUCAAAGAAAAAUAAAAUAAAAUCAAAAUUUGAAAACACUUUCAGAUUAGUGAAAAUGGAGAGACAACACACCAAAACUACAGAGAUGCAAAUGAAGGAGCACUUAGAGGGAAAUAUAUAACUGUAAUACCUAUGUUAAAAAGAAAUAAAGAGGGCUGGGGUUGUGGCUCAAGGGCAGAGUACUCACCUAGCACAUACAAGGCCCUGGGCUCGAUCCUCAGCACCACAUAAAAAUAAAUAAACAAAAAUAAAGGUAUUGUGUCCAACUACUAAAAAAUAAAUAUUUUUUAAAAAGAAAAAAAUAAAGAUCUCAAGUGAAUAAUCUAAUUUUCCAUUAAGAAGAAAAAAAAGAAUGCCAUUGAUGACCCACACCUGCCAUCCCAGCAGCUCGGGAGGCUGAGGCAGGAGGAUUGCAAGUUCAAAGCCAGUCUCAGCAAAAAGUGAGGCACCAAGCAACUCAGUGAGACCCUGUCUCUAAAUAAAAUACAAAACAGGGCUGGGGAUGUGACUUAGUGAUCUGAGUGCCCCUGGGUUUAACUCCAAAAGAAGGAAAAAAGAGCAAAGUAACCAAGCAUACUGGUGGUUAAUUCAGCAAAUUAGCAACUUGGAAAGCAGAGAUAGGAGGAGGCCAAGUUCAGGGCCAAUCUCAACAAUCUAGCCAGACACUAUCUCAAAAUAAAAAAAAAUGAAAAGGGCUGGGGGUAUAGCUCCUGGGUUCAAUUCAAAAGAAGAGAGAGAUGCAAAAAAAGGAAGCAAGCAAACUAAAUGAGGAGGGGUGUUGCCGUGAAAGUAAGUGAAAUAGAGAAUAAAGAAGUGAUACAGAGCAUCAAUGAAACCCAAUGAUUCUUCAAAAAGAUGAACCAAAUGGGCAACUUAUCAGAGGAUUCACAAAAAUAUUACAAAAUAAAAAAUUUAAAACUCCAAUACCAGCAUCACAAAAUAAAAAGUAGGCAUAUUAUUUACUGUACAAUAAUAAAGUGUUUAAAAUGCAUUCAUUCACCACAUAAAGAUGUUUUAUGUACCAUGGUAGAUCCCUCCGAUUAUAAUGAAACUGAAAAAUUCCUAUUGCCUACUGACAGGAAGCCCUUGUAAUGUCAUGCAACAUUUUACUUUCAGGUUUAUGGUGAUGCUGGUGUAAACAUACCCAUAGUAUAAGAAUAUAGCACAUGCAGUUAUGUACAGUACAUGCUACUUGAUAAUGAUAAUAAACAACUGUUACUUGUUUAUGUACUUACUAUAAUUUUUAGCCUUACUUUAGGGUAUACUCCUUAAGCUUAUUUAAAAAAAAAAAACUAACUAUAAAAAUACCCUCUGAUUGGUCCUUCAGAAAA